GACGAACGCUGGCGGCGUGGAUUAGGCAUGCAAGUCGAACGGUAUCAUCCUUUCGGGGGUGAGAGAGUGGCGAACUGGUGAGUAACACGUAGGUUAUCUACCCUCAAGACGGGGACAACCCAGGGAAACUUGGGCUAAUACCGGAUGUGAGCAACUUUUAGUUGUUUGAAAGGUGGCGUAAGCUGUCGCUUGGGGAUGAGCCUGCGUCCUAUUAGUUAGUUGGUGAGGUAACGGCUCACCUAGGCAAUGAUAGGUAGGCGGCCUUAACGGGUGGUCGCCCACACUGGGAUUGAGAUACGGCCCAGACUCCUACGGGAGGCAGCAGUCGAGAAUAGUCUACAAUGGUCGGAAGACUGAUAGUGCGACGCCGCGUGAACGAUGAAUCCCUUCGGGGUGUAAAGUUCUUUUAUAUGUGAGCAGUGCUUCUUAUAUUAACAGUAUGGGGAGAGAGAUAUUAGCAUAUGAAUAAGCAACGGCUAACUCCGUGCCAGCAGCCGCGGUAAUU
RNAcentral lists this ribosomal RNA (505 nucleotides) under uncultured bacterium. RNAcentral describes it as "bacterial SSU rRNA". It matches the Rfam family "Bacterial small subunit ribosomal RNA", at positions 28 to 525 of the family's 1533-position model. The record is from RNAcentral.